This 803-nucleotide long non-coding RNA is filed under the name Scleropages formosus (Asian bonytongue). Its description in RNAcentral is "lncRNA (ENSSFOG00015029941.1)". The record is from RNAcentral. Lineage: Eukaryota; Metazoa; Chordata; Actinopteri; Osteoglossiformes; Osteoglossidae.
ACUGGAUUACUGAAUUUUACUUUAUUUUAUAUAUGCAUGCUUAAUUUCAGUUGUUGCGUUUCUAUUUUCGACCUUGAUAUUUGAAUUGUGUCUAUAUCGAUACAUAAAUAAUAAUAUUGUGAGAAGUAAAAAUGAAUUCUUGGGUAUCUGGACCUUAUAAUUCAUUGCACAAUCACAGGCAUUAAGAAGAACGUUUAACCAGACUGAGACGCUGAUACCGGCAGAGAUCACGGAAGAUGUGAAAAAGGAGAUCGAGAAAUGUUGGAGCAGAUUUUCUGGUCCCAUUUGAAGAUUCCCAGAACAUCUGGAGACACGAAACUGCCCGGAGGUUAAACAUCGGCCUUCUGCUUCAAGGAAAGGUCAACCUGAUGGAGCUGGAUAUCAAAUAUCCAGCAAAACUGCUCUGUGACAAAGGACACAGUGGAUGCGUUUUCGGUAGCACUGUGGUGUAGCGAGAAGAGCCUGAGUGCUGCAGAGAAGAGAACAUCUUGGAAAACAAGUGAUGGCAAACGCAGCUGUGAAGUAAAGAUACAGGUGGAGGACACAUAAAGACUGACCUGUACCAGAAAUCAUGGUAUAAGGCAGGGUACAUCCUGGACACAAAGGUGGACAGUGCGAAUCUCUGGGUGAAAAGGCUCCAUCUCCUGCCCAUGGGGGACAACUGGAGAACCACAAGCAAGCAGCAGAAACUGCAGCAGGAGGCCUCUACAAGUACUGCAAGAAGAGGAGUAAAGGUGUCAAAGUGAAUGACGGCAGUGAGUGACGUGUGUUUAAACUGUAUUUGUUUUCUAAUGUAAAUUAUC